AGUAUAUAAACGCCAGCGGACGAUUGAAACGCAACGUCUCUCUCUCAGUCUGUUCUUCAUCGCUUCGUCGUUGCGAUCUCUCGGUCUCUUCGUCGUUGUGAUUUCGUUUGCUUCGUCUCCAUAGGUGGAUUUGCAGGUAGCUUUCAUGCUUCUUCUUCUCACAUGCUUAAGUUUGCAUUCUUCUCCGUCGAUUUCAAGCUUUUUGAUCUAUUGAAAAGCUAGUUGUAAAUUCGAAUUCCUCUAAAUUUGAUCCAAUUUUCGUUUAGGUUUACUUUGUUUUUGAAUCGGUUUGAUGCUUUGAUGUUAUUUAGUGAGCAAUUUGUAGGUUGAAUCUCUUGAUUCUUUAUUCUUAUGGUGUUUUCAUCUUUUUGAAUUUUGAAUUGGAAUUUGACGACGAGCUAUUUCUGUUUAGGUUUUGUGUUGAUAAUUUUCCGAUUGCAGUUAUAAAUCAAUUUUAAAGUUCAUUCGAAGUAGAUUUGUUGAGCUAUUGAAAUUUGCAGAUGUUUGUUUUGGUUUUGAUUCAAUGUUUUCAGCUAUUGUAGUAGCAGCUACCUAGGUCGUGUUUGUUUUUGGUUAUUUGUUUUGAUUCAAUGUUUCAGCUACUUGUAGUAGCAGGUGUUUGUUUUGAUAUGUUUUUAUUUGCAGUUUAUAUGCAGUAGCUAUUGUAUUUGAUAUGUUUUGAUUCAAUGUUUCAGCUAUUCUAGUUUAUAUGCAGUAGCAGGUGUUUGUUUUGAUAUGUUUUUAUUUGCAGUUUAUAUGCAGUAGCUAUUGUAUUUUAUAUGUUUUAAUUCAAUGUUUCAGCUAUUCUAGUUUAUAUGCAGUAGCAUGUGUUUGUUUUGGGGUUGAUUCAAUGUUUUAAUGUGUGUUGUAAAGAGAACGUUUUAAAUGUUUUUUUGUGUGAUUCUGAUGGUUCAUCAAGUGUAUUAGCAGAUACAUAACUAGUCUAGUCUGUGUAGUAGCAGCUCUUUAACAUUAGUGUUUUUUUAGGAUUUUUUGGGAUUUUUUGGUUCAGCAGGUGUAGUAGCAGACAUAUUACUAGUCUAGUCUGUGUAGUAGCAGCUCUUUAACAUUAGUGUGUUUUUUAUUGAUUUUUUUUGGUUAGCAGCUCCCUAGCUUGUCUCAGUUGCAUUUUUUUUGUUUGAGGUGGUGU
RNAcentral lists this long non-coding RNA (1150 nucleotides) under Fragaria vesca (wild strawberry). RNAcentral describes it as "long non-coding RNA (FVES_LNC004596)". Lineage: Eukaryota; Viridiplantae; Streptophyta; Magnoliopsida; Rosales; Rosaceae. The record is from RNAcentral.